Molecule: ribosomal RNA, 760 nt
Filed under: uncultured Eikenella sp.
Lineage: Bacteria; Pseudomonadati; Pseudomonadota; Betaproteobacteria; Neisseriales; Neisseriaceae
Description: bacterial SSU rRNA
Rfam family: Bacterial small subunit ribosomal RNA
Source: RNAcentral
AUUGAACGCUGGCGGCAUGCUUUACACAUGCAAGUCGAACGGCAGCGGGGUAGUGCUUGCACUACUGUCCGGCGAGUGGCGAACGGGUGAGUAAUAUAUCGGAACGUACCGAGUAAUGGGGGAUAACCAAUCGAAAGAUUGGCUAAUACCGCAUACGUCCUGAGGGAGAAAGCGGGGGAUCGCAAGACCUCGCGUUAUUCGAGCGGCCGAUAACUGAUUAGCUAGUUGGUGGGGUAAAGGCCUACCAAGGCGACGAUCAGUAGCGGGUCUGAGAGGACGAUCCGCCACACUGGGACUGAGACACGGCCUAGACUCCUACGGGAGGCAGCAGUGGGGAAUUUUGGACAAUGGGGGCAACCCUGAUCCAGCCAUGCCGCGUGUAUGAAGAAGGCCUUCGGGUUGUAAAGUACUUUUGUUAGGGAAGAAAAGGGAAGUGCUAAUACCACUUUUUGCUGACGGUACCUAAAGAAUAAGCACCGGCUAACUACGUGCCAGCAGCCGCGGUAAUACGUAGGGUGCGAGCGUUAAUCGGAAUUACUGGGCGUAAAGCGAGCGCAGACGGUUAUUUAAGCAGGAUGUGAAAUCCCCGGGCUUAACCUGGGAACUGCGUUCUGAACUGGAUAGCUAGAGUGUGUCAGAGGGGGGUAGAAUUCCACGUGUAGCAGUGAAAUGCGUAGAGAUGUGGAGGAAUACCGAUGGCGAAGGCAGCCCCCUGGGAUAACACUGACGUUCAUGCUCGAAAGCGUGGGUAGCAAACAGG